Molecule: transfer RNA, 89 nt
Filed under: Chloroflexota bacterium
Lineage: Bacteria; Bacillati; Chloroflexota
Description: Chloroflexi bacterium (sediment metagenome) tRNA-Leu
Rfam family: tRNA
About the family: Transfer RNA (tRNA) molecules are approximately 80 nucleotides in length. Their secondary structure includes four short double-helical elements and three loops (D, anti-codon, and T loops). Further hydrogen bonds mediate the characteristic L-shaped molecular structure. tRNAs have two regions of fundamental functional importance: the anti-codon, which is responsible for specific mRNA codon recognition, and the 3' end, to which the tRNAs corresponding amino acid is attached (by aminoacyl-tRNA synthetases). tRNAs cope with the degeneracy of the genetic code in two manners: having more than one tRNA (with a specific anti-codon) for a particular amino acid; and 'wobble' base-pairing, i.e. permitting non-standard base-pairing at the 3rd anti-codon position.
Source: RNAcentral
GCCGAAGUGGCGGAACUGGUAGACGCGGCGGACUCAAAAUCCGCUGAGGGGAAGCCCUCGUGCCGGUUCGAGUCCGGCCUUCGGCACCA